Molecule: long non-coding RNA, 555 nt
Organism: Suricata suricatta (meerkat)
Lineage: Eukaryota; Metazoa; Chordata; Mammalia; Carnivora; Herpestidae
Exons: 3
Source: RefSeq, a predicted model, not a curated record
CUUCUGGCCCCUGCUCGCGGCUUCUCCUGUUUCAAUUUCCAUGUCCUCUCCGAUUUGUAACUCAAGGAGCUCCCGGGCUUAGGAACAGCUGACUAGCUGGCCAUUCCUGGCCGUGGCACCUGGGGAAGGGGCGAUGGGAACUGACUCGCAGACACGCUCCGGGCUCCCUGGCCCCGGCUGCCGUGACACACUGGAAGGUUGGCUUUCACGGGACUCCUGGACUUCCAGGUGUGUGGCAUCUCCUUCCAGGGAAAGCCCGAUCUCCAAACUGCAGCAGAUCCAGGCAUGUGGAGCCCAGUGAGUGACGGGGAGUCAGUGGGGCUCCCUACCUGCCCACCUUACCCAGGAUUUGACAGGACCUGGAGGUGUGUCUUAUCAUCACCCCUUUGAAGAAGGCGUUUUGAGUUUGCUGACCUGGUGAGGACCACAGGAUUUCAUCUCUGCUGCCCAGUCAUCUCAAGGCCUAGCUGAGCACAAAGCAAUUUUCAGCUGUAUUUGUUCAUAGACAGAAGUCCAGAGAUUUUCUCUGGUCAAGAAUUGGUGUGCAACAGGCCC